RNAcentral lists this microRNA precursor (156 nucleotides) under Pelobates cultripes (western spadefoot toad). The record is from RNAcentral. Lineage: Eukaryota; Metazoa; Chordata; Amphibia; Anura; Pelobatidae.
GCAGACACAUUGCAGCCAAUUAGCAGCAGACCCUCCCUCCCAGACCCUCCCACCUCCUGGACAGCAUCCAUUGUGAAGCUGCAUUCUUAGUGAGCUGUCCAGGAGGUGGGAGGGUCUGGGAGGGAGGGUCUGCUGCUGAUUGGCUGGAAUGUGUCU